GAUGAACGCUGGCGGCGUGCUUAACACAUGCAAGUCGAACGAUGAAGCCCAGCUUGCUGGGUGGAUUAGUGGCGAACGGGUGAGUAACACGUGAGUAACCUGCCCUUGACUCUAGGAUAAGCCCGGGAAACUGGGUCUAAUACUGGAUAGGAACGUCUACCGCAUGGUAGGUGUUGGAAAGAAUUUCGGUCAUGGAUGGACUCGCGGCCUAUCAGCUUGUUGGUGAGGUAAUGGCUCACCAAGGCGACGACGGGUAGCCGGCCUGAGAGGGUGACCGGCCACACUGGGACUGAGACACGGCCCAGACUCCUACGGGAGGCAGCAGUGGGGAAUAUUGCACAAUGGGCGAAAGCCUGAUGCAGCGACGCCGCGUGAGGGAUGACGGCCUUCGGGUUGUAAACCUCUUUCAGUAGGGAAGAAGCGAAAGUGACGGUACCUGCAGAAGAAGCACCGGCUAACUACGUG
RNAcentral lists this ribosomal RNA (465 nucleotides) under uncultured bacterium. Its description in RNAcentral is "partial 16S ribosomal RNA". It matches the Rfam family "Bacterial small subunit ribosomal RNA", at positions 28 to 507 of the family's 1533-position model. The record is from RNAcentral.